RNAcentral lists this transfer RNA (77 nucleotides) under Candidatus Enterosoma merdigallinarum. RNAcentral describes it as "tRNA-Asp". It matches the Rfam family "tRNA". Rfam says of the family: Transfer RNA (tRNA) molecules are approximately 80 nucleotides in length. Their secondary structure includes four short double-helical elements and three loops (D, anti-codon, and T loops). Further hydrogen bonds mediate the characteristic L-shaped molecular structure. tRNAs have two regions of fundamental functional importance: the anti-codon, which is responsible for specific mRNA codon recognition, and the 3' end, to which the tRNAs corresponding amino acid is attached (by aminoacyl-tRNA synthetases). tRNAs cope with the degeneracy of the genetic code in two manners: having more than one tRNA (with a specific anti-codon) for a particular amino acid; and 'wobble' base-pairing, i.e. permitting non-standard base-pairing at the 3rd anti-codon position. Lineage: Bacteria; Bacillati; Bacillota; Bacilli; Caryophanales. The record is from RNAcentral.
GGAUCUAUAGUGUAGUGGCCUAUCACGUCUCCCUGUCACGGAGAAGAUCGCGGGUUCAAAUCCCGCUAGAUCCGCCA